GACGAACGCUGGCGGCGUGCCUAACACAUGCAAGUCGAGCGGAGAUAAGCGGAUGGUAACUGAAGUUUGUCUUAGCGGCGGACGGGUGAGUAACACGUGGGCAACCUGCCUUGGAGUGGGGGAUAACACCGGGAAAUCGGUGCUAAUACCGCAUAACAUACACAUACUGCAUGGUGAGUGUAUCAAAGGAGCAAUCCGCUUUAAGAUGGGCCCGCGGCUGAUUAGCUAGUUGGUAAGGUAACGGCUUACCAAGGCGACGAUCAGUAGCCGACCUGAGAGGGUGACCGGCCACACUGGAACUGAGACACGGUCCAGACUCCUACGGGAGGCAGCAGUGGGGAAUAUUGCGCAAUGGGGGAAACCCUGACGCAGCAACGCCGCGUGGAGGAAGAAGGUCUUCGGAUUGUAAACUCCUGUCUUCUGGGACGAAGUAUGACGGUACCAGAGGAGGAAGCCACGGCUAACUACGUGCCAGCAGCCGCGGUAAACGUAGCGUG
Molecule: ribosomal RNA, 497 nt
Filed under: uncultured bacterium
Lineage: Bacteria
Description: bacterial SSU rRNA
Rfam family: Bacterial small subunit ribosomal RNA
Source: RNAcentral